This 374-nucleotide long non-coding RNA is filed under the name Salvia miltiorrhiza (redroot sage). Its description in RNAcentral is "long non-coding RNA (SMIL_LNC012991)". Lineage: Eukaryota; Viridiplantae; Streptophyta; Magnoliopsida; Lamiales; Lamiaceae. The record is from RNAcentral.
CUGGAACACAGCAAAUAUCCGAGUGAACAUAGCAAUUUUUAAGGACGCAUUCCCUUCCCGAUAAUGACAAAGUUGAGCUUUGGGGCCCUUCCCUCGACACUGCGAUUCUGGCAGAGAUCGAUGCAUUGCAAAACUCUGGCUUCUCUAUCAAUGCUCUGGAGUGCUUGAGCUGUUAUUAUCAUGUCCUUGCACAAGAAUUCAAACGAGAUCACAAGCAAAGUUAGGAGACUGAAAUAGAGGACUAAGUCCUUCGCGAAAGUAAAUGAGAAAGCUCUGAUAAAUGGAGGUCUUCCUGUCGAUUCUCUGAAAUACUCAAGCUGGUAUUGGCAUGUCCCCUCAGUUGAGGGCUGGCUGCGCUGCCGAGCAGCGACAAG